This 69-nucleotide transfer RNA is filed under the name Ictidomys tridecemlineatus (thirteen-lined ground squirrel). Its description in RNAcentral is "Spermophilus tridecemlineatus (thirteen-lined ground squirrel) tRNA". It matches the Rfam family "tRNA". From Rfam's summary of the family: Transfer RNA (tRNA) molecules are approximately 80 nucleotides in length. Lineage: Eukaryota; Metazoa; Chordata; Mammalia; Rodentia; Sciuridae. The record is from Rfam by way of RNAcentral.
GGGGCUAUAGCUCAGUAGCAGAGCACUUGCUUAACAUGUAUGAGGCACUGGGUUCAAUCCUUAACUCCA